Molecule: long non-coding RNA, 880 nt
Organism: Suricata suricatta (meerkat)
Lineage: Eukaryota; Metazoa; Chordata; Mammalia; Carnivora; Herpestidae
Exons: 3
Source: RefSeq, a predicted model, not a curated record
AGGGAAGAUCUUUGAUGCAUUCUUCUUCCUUGUUGUGCCUUCUCUUCAUUACCCGUUGCCUUUCAUGAAGCUUACAAGAAGGGACAUGAGCGCAGGCACCCAGUUUCCAACAACCUGGGGAUGGAGUGAUGUCUACUCCAACAGAGAAUUGUACUUUCAGCGUUUCUGUGCUGGAAGAGGAGAUUAUUUGCCUCAAGCAUCAAAGAGACAGCCAUGUCAAUAGGACCUUGAAAGACUAAGAUCAAAAGCCUAAUUCGUGGGCCUGCAGCGUCAUGCUCUCCACACUGCAGGCUGAGCACAGCUUGUUUCCGAAGGCCUCCUGGAUCCGGAGAACCAGGCAUUUGUGGUGGGCCUCAUCCAUGGCGUAGAAGUGGUUGAAAUCCAGGAAGACAAUCUCCUGGGGGUGCUGUGUAAGAAAUGAGUCAAUCUCCAUCAGCCCAUCCCAGACCUUGAUGCCAAAAAGUCCGUGAAUGAAGUAGAUCUCCUGGUCAGCAUCCCCGGGUUUGGAAGACACGCGCAGGUCGAAGUAUCGAAUCCCAGCUUCCAGCUGUUCUCGGAACGUUAGGUUCUGCGUCACGGACCAUUUCUUCAUUAGCUUCUUCACCAAGGAGAUCCUGGCGAGGCGUUUGAUGGCUGGGGUUUGGUCCGGCCCCACUGGGGACUUUUCAUCUACCCAGUAGCUGAAUGAAUCAUGGGAGCCUGAGCAAGGCAACAGAGGGGAAAAAAGCAGUUGAGACUGGAGGUGGGAAAAAGAAGCCCGCUAAGGAAACCGCACAAGAUUAGCAAAAACACACAAACAAUGUAAAUGAAUACUUGCAAAACUUUCCAAGCUUGCUAAGACAGAAAUAAGUACAAAUAAAAGUAAUGUAGUCUUGGGGCA